RNAcentral lists this long non-coding RNA (395 nucleotides) under Felis catus (domestic cat). Its description in RNAcentral is "lncRNA (ENSFCAG00000044670.2)". The record is from RNAcentral. Lineage: Eukaryota; Metazoa; Chordata; Mammalia; Carnivora; Felidae.
GAAGACCAAGACUCAGGAGAAAGAGGAGAGACUCUCAGGCUGUCCAGCAAGAAGAAUUCUUAUGCCACAAAGAUCUCGACAAACACUGGAGACUCAUCAACCGGAGUGAAUUCCCUCAGUGAAAUCGCUAUCCUCUGCCAAGAAUCAAAGGUCAUCCCAGUGGAGUGCCGUCUUCGUGUUCAGCCGCUACGGAGUGUCUGGAACAGAGUGAGAACAAAAAUUAUCCCAGUUUGGUGCCCCCUGACUCUUUCGGGAAGAAUCCCAACAAGACUGCCACCGGGAGUUCAGAGAACACAUUUGAAGACUGGGGAAGGGCCAGGCUAAACAAGGGAGAAUAGUGAUGUAAAGACAAUAAGAUAAAGGAAAUAAAUGACUCAAAGACAAGUUUUAAGCCA